GUAAAGAAAUUGAUGCUCAACUUACCUGAUCCUCAAACUUUGAGUCAAGCAAUCGAUUUUGCGGUAAAAUGUGAUAAUCGACUUUUUGAAUUUCGAUCUGAGAAUCAUUCAUGGGAACCUCAACGUUAUUACUCAAUGGCAACAUCAACAUCUUUGCCAAACGUACAUUCGGAAGUAGAAGACAUGCAAAUUGACGCGGUACGUUUUAAACCUCUAACUGAGCAAGAAAAGAUUCGUCGUCGUCAAGAAGGAUUAUGUUUAUAUUGCGGAGAACCUAAGCACACUGCUCAA
This 291-nucleotide long non-coding RNA is filed under the name Physcomitrium patens. RNAcentral describes it as "long non-coding RNA (PPAT_LNC001547)". The record is from RNAcentral. Lineage: Eukaryota; Viridiplantae; Streptophyta; Bryopsida; Funariales; Funariaceae.